This 344-nucleotide ribosomal RNA is filed under the name Microcerotermes crassus. Its description in RNAcentral is "partial 16S ribosomal RNA". Lineage: Eukaryota; Metazoa; Arthropoda; Insecta; Blattodea; Termitidae. The record is from RNAcentral.
CUUUUCUUGUUAGUUUUUGAAGUAUGGCCUGCCCACUGACGUUUAUUUAGGUUGAAGGGCCGCGGUAUUUUGACCGUGCAAAGGUAGCAUAAUCAUUAGUUCUUUAAUUGUGAUCUGGUAUGAAUGGCUUGACGAGAUAUGAGCUGUCUUAAGAGUAUUAUUUUAUUGAAUUUAGUUUUUGAGUUAAAAUUCUUAGAUGUUUUUAUGGGACGAGAAGACCCUAUAGAGUUUGACACCUAAAUCUUCUUUUUUGUUUUGUUUGAUUUAUUUUUAUGAGUUGAUUAGGUGUUUUGUUGGGGUGAUGAGAGGAAAUAAAUUAACUCCUCUUUGGCUUUUUAUAUUUA